UAGAUAGAUAGAUAGAUAGAUCCCCUCAUUCAUUUGUUUAUUUGGUGGCAGUAAUAAAAGGCUACAAAAAGGAAAGAAUGUUCAUUCUUCUAUGAAAACAGUUCUCUGAGCGAGCAUGUGUGGACUAAAACCAACCCAAUAUUUCGAUUUCACAAACAAAUUUCAUUCAUAGAAAGCUUCUGGGUGCAGAUUGAUCAGAAACGUGCUGCUCCACAUCUCUCUCACCAGGUUAUAGACACCACCACCUGCUGGUUAAAAGGAGUUCAUGCAGCCACUGCUGACAAGCCCCAGACAGAAGUUGGCCUAAUGGCACUAUUAAAAAACACCGUUGGCUAAUUAUAUGUCUGAACAGAUUUGAAGCAUCUCAUGUUUAUAAAGUCAGCGAUGAAACCACUAUCAAGUCUAAUUUAUUUCUAUGGUACAUUUAAGUGGCACAGCUGUUGCUCCAAAGAGCUGCACAUAAACAAAGUUGAGAUACAUACAAACAGGCUACAAAGAAUUAAAGGAGACAUAACAUGAAAAACCCACUUUUUUAUCCAUUAACACAGUGUGUUUCACAUUUUAAGUGUCUAAGUGAGCAAAAAGGCUUAUAUUAUUCACUGGAGUUGCUAUUUAGAUAUUUAAUAAUUAAGUUUUGGGCAUAUUUGUCCACCCGUUCAGUUUUUACAUUAUCUAUUACAUCAGUAAUUAAUUUAGUCAGGAUAACUACCAAAUAUGGUAAUGGCCCUUGGCUAAACACAGAGCCAAUCCGCCAUUUUUUCUUCUCGCUAAGAUUUUUUGUAGUCCUAUUGGAAAAAUGCAGAAUGUCUGGUUAUUUUAGCCACACACAGCUCAAAACUGUUCCUCGUUUUAAGGAAGGGUGGUGUGGCAGUAUUUAAACCCAGGAGCUGAUGACACUACUGCUAAAAAAACACAGAAGAAAAAGUAGUGUGUUUGUGUUUGUGUUUGUGUGUGUGUGUGUGUGCGCGCGUGCGCGUGGUUCGUUCGUUCCUGUCUCCAGGCUAGUAAGUACUGAGGGCUUCAUCUAUCUAAAAGGAGUCAUUUUUAUCUGAAUGUGGCAGCACCGGGACACAGCAGCAGAGCGAAUAUGACGAUGACAUCAUGGAACUGGUCUUUGGAAAAGUUUUCCCUGAACCAACUCCAUUUCUAGAUGAGGUAGAGAAGAUCUGCAUCUCACCAACUCUCUGGUCUCAGUAUUCAGACAACGGAGGUCUCCCACUGUUAUCCAGGACCAGUUUGAAGCCCACAUACUGCCCCUCCCUCAUCAUCAGGAAACAUCAAUCCGUAUCCUGAGGACAACAGAAGACGGCAGGAGGACAGGAACUCUGAGACCUAGACACCACCAGCACCGAGACACAAAGCACCUGUGUGCACAACGCCUGUUUAACUACUAAAGCCUGUUUAUUAUAUUGUUCUACUUAUUUGCUGUGAGGUUAAUACUUAGAAAAUUUGUAUAUUAAUGUAAACAAUUAAAAAAAUCACUGAUUGUAUGUUUUCUUUUAGAUGUAAUGGUCCAAACUCAGCCUUGUAGACAUUUAUUGCAUCCUGUAGGUAAAUACACAGAACAGGCUCAGAUCCAGGAUGACCCAGCAUGCACUUCUUCCAUUCUGGCUGUUAGGGAUUUUAUCAAUAACUCAAUGCCUACUGAUGUUUUCACCUAACGGUAUUUAUUUAGAAUGCAGGUAAGAUUUAACUAUAUUUGUUAGCAAAGCAGACUGAUCUUGGGAAUUUCACUGCAGCACUGAUGUCCACCUCUCUGUACACAUUAGAGAGAAUUACCACUUUACAGCUAAACACAUUUAAUAAAGAUAUAGGCUACGCAUUGCAGACAAUAAAAACAAAGUUGUAAGCAUUAGAAUUAUAAUGAUCACAUUAAAGAACAUUUGGAGGAAUGUUCUUUAUUUUUGACUCGAAUCUCAAAUCUUUAAAUUAAAAUGUAACUGCUUUUUAUCCAUUUUCAGCCAUUAAGACACCCAAUAUAAAAUAAGACUACUUAUAAAAUUAUUUAUAAUUAUAUGUAUGUAUAUAUAUAGAUAGAGAUCUUAAUAAAAUGUAUUCUUUUAAUGGUGUUUUAAUGAGCUGUAUCAUUUUUUAAAACAUUUUUUAUAGAAAUAAAUAAGCAAGCAGCA
Long non-coding RNA from Nothobranchius furzeri (turquoise killifish), 2129 nucleotides. RefSeq lists it as uncharacterized. The record is from RefSeq and is a predicted model, not a curated record. NCBI's taxonomy places the organism in Eukaryota, Metazoa, Chordata, Actinopteri, Cyprinodontiformes, Nothobranchiidae.